ACCUAAGUUCAGUAAUCAAAACUCGAUAUUUUAAAAAUCAGUGCCAAUCAUAGAAAUGAUCAUAAGUUCAUUGGAACAAUUAACUCAAACUUUAACAAAAGCCGAUCAAAAAAAAAAAAAAAAAAAAGAGAGGGCAACUUUCAAGGUUUUGUUUUUAAAAGCGUGCACAAAAUACUGAAAGAGGUAGUCAAAUGCGUGAAAAGAAGGGAAAUAAAUAGAGGCAGUGUGGGGAGGUGGAGGCGGCAGGUGAGGGUAUUAAUGGAGGCACUACUCUAAAUGGCAAGAAUGCACUUGCAUGGGUGUCAGCAAUUCUUCUACAUAUUGGAAGAGUGAGGUGUGGUGGGGUGGGAAUAGGAGUGGGUAGUAAAGGGUUGGCGUGGGUGUGGGGGGUGUCGGUGGUGACCACCUAAUUGUGAGUUCUUAGAGAGACGAUUCUUCACUGUACAUGAAACCCCCUCGGCGCAUCUUAGUAAUGCUUGCCAGCUUAGUUAAAGUUUUCUUUUUUCUGCUUUGGGAAAAAUUCUCAAUUUUAUUCCAAUUCCCUAUCAAACGAAAAUAUCAAUAAAUUCU
This 570-nucleotide long non-coding RNA is filed under the name Olea europaea (common olive). Its description in RNAcentral is "long non-coding RNA (OEUR_LNC004328)". Lineage: Eukaryota; Viridiplantae; Streptophyta; Magnoliopsida; Lamiales; Oleaceae. The record is from RNAcentral.